AUACGGAGGGUGCAAGCGUUAUCCGGAAUUACUGGGCGUAAAGGGUGCGUAGGCGGCUUGAUAAGUCGGAUGUGAAAGCCCCGGGCUUAACCUGGGAAUUGCAUUCGAUACUGUCAGGCUAGAGUAUGUCAGAGGUUGGCGGAAUUCCUGGUGUAGCGGUGAAAUGCGUAGAUAUCAGGAGGAACACCAGUGGCGAAGGCGGCUAACUGGGACAAUACUGACGCUGAGGCACGAAAGCGUGGGGAGCAAACAGGAUUAGAUACCCUAGUAGUCC
RNAcentral lists this ribosomal RNA (274 nucleotides) under uncultured bacterium. RNAcentral's name for it is "partial 16S ribosomal RNA". It matches the Rfam family "Bacterial small subunit ribosomal RNA", at positions 523 to 796 of the family's 1533-position model. The record is from RNAcentral.